This 497-nucleotide ribosomal RNA is filed under the name uncultured bacterium. RNAcentral describes it as "partial 16S ribosomal RNA". It matches the Rfam family "Bacterial small subunit ribosomal RNA", at positions 28 to 507 of the family's 1533-position model. The record is from RNAcentral.
GAUGAACGCUGGCGGCGUGCCUAAUACAUGCAAGUCGAGCGAACGGACGAGAAGCUUGCUCUUCUGAUGUUAGCGGCGGACGGGUGAGUAACACGUGGAUAACCUACCUAUAAGACUGGGAUAACUUCGGGAAACCGGAGCUAAUACCGGAUAAUAUUUUGAACCGCAUGGUUCAAUAGUGAAAGACGGUCUUGCUGUCACUUAUAGAUGGAUCCGCGCUGCAUUAGCUAGUUGGUAAGGUAACGGCUUACCAAGGCAGCGAUGCAUAGCCGACCUGAGAGGGUGAUCGGCCACACUGGAACUGAGACACGGUCCAGACUCCUACGGGAGGCAGCAGUAGGGAAUCUUCCGCAAUGGGCGAAAGCCUGACGGAGCAACGCCGCGUGAGUGAUGAAGGUCUUCGGAUCGUAAAACUCUGUUAUUAGGGAAGAACAUAUGUGUAAGUAACUGUGCACAUCUUGACGGUACCUAAUCAGAAAGCCACGGCUAACUACGUG